GGUGAGUAAUAUAUAGGUAAUAUGCCUUUUGGUUUGGAAUAACCCCGCGAAAGCGGGGCUAAUACCGAAUGAUGCAGCGGCUCCGCAUGGAGAUGUUGUUAAAGCUUCGGCGCCAAAAGAUUAACCUGUAUCCCAUUAGAUAGUUGGCGAGGUAACGGCUCACCAAGUCUGCGAUGGGUAGCUGAUCUGAGAGGAUGAUCAGCCACACUGGAACUGAGACACGGUCCAGACUCCUACGGGAGGCAGCAGUGAGGAAUAUUGCGCAAUGGAGGAAACUCUGACGCAGCGACGCCGCGUGAAGGAUGAAGGCCCUCUGGGUUGUAAACUUCUGUAGAGAGGGAAGAAUUUUUCGCUUCGCGAAAUUGACGGUACCUCUAAAGUAAGGGUCGGCUAACUACGUGCCAGCAGCCGCGGUAAUACGUAGGACCCAAGCGUUGUCCGGAUUUACUGGGUGUAAAGGGAGCGCAGGCGGAUUUUCAAGUCGAUGGUGAAAUCUUGCGGCUCAACCGCAAAACAGCCGUCGAUACUGUUAAUCUUGAGUGUGGAAGAGAGUGGCGGAAUUCAUGGUGUAGCAGUGAAAUGCGUAGAUAUCAUGAAGAACACCGGUUGCGAAGGCGGCCACUUAGUCCAUUACUGACGCUCAUGCUCGAAAGCGUGGGGAUCAAACAGGAUUAGAUACCCUGUAGUCCACGCCCUAAACGAUGAAUACUCGGUGUCGGGUCGCAAGAUUCGGCGCCUAAGCAAACGCAUUAAGUAUUCCACCUGGGAAGUACGAUCG
This 778-nucleotide ribosomal RNA is filed under the name uncultured bacterium. Its description in RNAcentral is "bacterial SSU rRNA". It matches the Rfam family "Bacterial small subunit ribosomal RNA", at positions 105 to 888 of the family's 1533-position model. The record is from RNAcentral.